UGUUUUUCACUAAGAAAAAGAAAUUUUAAGACAAUAACACUACUCGUAUCUCUACUUAUUAUCAUAAUAUUUUUGUUUAACAUUUUGUUUAUUGUUUUGCUAAACUAACAAUCUCAACAUAAAUGUAAUAGUUUUUUGGAUUUGAGUUGUUGAUUUUCUUGUGUUUCUUCUGUGUUUGAAGUAUUUAUUUUAUUUUAUUUUUUGUCUCUGUUUUUUAAAACUUCUUUUUACAGAGUUGGAAUUGAUCUUCCCACCAUUGAAGUCCGGUUCGAGCAUUUAAAUGUCAACUCAGAAGCUUAUGUUGGCGGUAGAGCACUGCCAACAAUUCUCAACUUCUCCAUCAACAUUUUAGAGGGGUUCUUUCUUGAAUUAUCUCCAUAUUUUUCCAAGUAGGAAGAAACCAUUAGCAAUCCUUCAUAAUGUCAGUGGAAUCAUUAAGCCUGGCAGAAUGGCAUUGCUCUUAGGCCCACCAAGCUCUGGGAAGACCUCAUUGCUGCUAGCUUUGGCUGGAAAACUUGAUUCAGAUCUAAAAGUAAGACAACUAUGAGUUUAAAUCAUUUGAUACCAAGUGCUGGGGACUUGUUUUAUCUUGUGAUUUCAAAUGAAUCUUAUUAUGAGGCAUCUAUGAACACAUAAAAGAAACACAAUCAGUCACAGAAAACAAAUGAAUGGAUAUGAUUUUGAUAAGUGAGUCCUACCAAUAAAUCUUGCAGAAUCUUGUCCAUUCAUAUCUUUUUGUGUCAGGUUUUGUUUUUGGUUUCUUUAUUUUUUAGCUUUGUUGUAUUUUUACUAUACACUCAUCUCUAGUAGAUCAUGCUAUUUCAAUCGUGCCAAUGCCAUAUAUUAGCAUGUUAUAAUGUCAAAUAUAAUAUUUUGA
Camellia sinensis is the source of this 877-nucleotide non-coding RNA. Lineage: Eukaryota; Viridiplantae; Streptophyta; Magnoliopsida; Ericales; Theaceae. The record is from RefSeq and is a predicted model, not a curated record.